This 430-nucleotide ribosomal RNA is filed under the name uncultured rumen bacterium. RNAcentral's name for it is "bacterial SSU rRNA". It matches the Rfam family "Bacterial small subunit ribosomal RNA", at positions 354 to 776 of the family's 1533-position model. The record is from RNAcentral.
GUGGGGAAUCUUCCGCAAUGGGCGAAAGCCUGACGGAGCAACGCCGCGUGAGUGAAGAAGGUCUUCGGAUCGUAAAGCUCUGUUGUCGGGGACGAAUGUUGAGGCCUAGAACAUAGGUUUCAAAUGACGGUACCUGACGAGGAAGCCACGGCUAACUACGUGCCAGCAGCCGCGGUAAUACGUAGGUGGCGAGCGUUGUCCGGAAUUAUUGGGCGUAAAGGGAGCGCAGGCGGGAAGGUAAGUCUAUCUUAAAAGUGCGGGGCUCAACCCCGUGAGGGGAUAGAAACUAUCAUUCUUGAGUGCAGGAGAGGAAAGCGGAAUUCCUAGUGUAGCGGUGAAAUGCGUAGAUAUUAGGAGGAACACCAGUGGCGAAGGCGGCUUUCUGGACUGUAACUGACGCUGAGGCUCGAAAGCCAGGGGAGCGAACGGG